This is a long non-coding RNA of Cucurbita moschata (crookneck pumpkin), 1086 nucleotides long. RefSeq lists it as uncharacterized. Lineage: Eukaryota; Viridiplantae; Streptophyta; Magnoliopsida; Cucurbitales; Cucurbitaceae. The transcript has 2 exons. The record is from RefSeq and is a predicted model, not a curated record.
UCUUUUAUUGCAAUUCACCCCUCCAACUUUCCCAUAUUUACCAUUCCCACCCCCCACUUUUUCCUUUUAUUUUCAAAUUUCCUUUUCAAUCUCCUUAUAUAUCCCAUCCUUUUCCUCCCUUCUUCCCAUUCAUUCACCCUCUCCAUUCCUUUCUGAUAUAUGCUUUCAUGUAUCAAAUCUGCCUGGCUCCCUGUAUGCCAUUUGUAGAGCGCUCACCGUCUUACCCGAUGACCUCCGUAGAUGGCGUAUGAGGAGCCAAGCAUAUUCCGUCUAGAUCGGGAUUCAAAUCUUUUAUCUUUAACAUCACAACUUACCCCGUCUUUUGUUUUUAAUCUAUCCAUGUCUUAAUCAGCUCAGCUAUGCUCUAAAUUGGUAAUUCUCGAACUAACCCUUUUCAAUGCUCGUGCCCUUUUCUUAUUGCAGCUACCCAAAAAACCCUAAUUUCAAAGACCUCCGUAAAUGGCGUACGAGGAGCCAAGCAUAUUCCGUGUAGAUCGGGAUUCAAAUCUUUUAUCUUUAACAUCACAACUUACCCCGUCUUUUGUUUUUAAUCCAUCUAUGUCUUAUUCAACUCAAUUAUGCUCUAAAUUGGUAAUUCUCGAACUAACCCUUUUCAAUGCUCGUGCCCUUUUCUUAUUGCAGCUACCCGAAAAACCCUAAUUUCAAAGAUUGGCAAUGAAGAGAUCUCAUGUAUACCAAUGUAUAAUAGCAAGCGACCGAAGAUCUGAUGGGAUGAAAUCUGAUCGUGUGGUGAUGGGUUGUUCAAUAUGAAGAGAGUAAGAUAGAUCUGGCCACAGAGGAUCCAAAUAUAUAUAUAUAUAUAUAUAUUUGAAUGGGAAAGAAUCUAAGUGGAAAGAGCUUGAGGAUUCUCUCAUAGCUAGGGUUAUUUGGAUAGCAUCUUAGCCUAAUGGCUAGCUAUAUUCUACUACAUGUAGUGUAAUAAUCAAACAUUUAUCUCAAUAAAUCCUUUUUUUUUUGUUCGUUUUCCGUAAUUGUUAGCACGUUUUUGAGCUCUCGCUUUGCUGAUUUGUAUAUACAGUGUUCGGGAUAUAGGUAGGGAUGAAGUGAUUGUUCUCGUUUAGAACU